This 396-nucleotide ribosomal RNA is filed under the name uncultured bacterium. Its description in RNAcentral is "partial 16S ribosomal RNA". It matches the Rfam family "Bacterial small subunit ribosomal RNA", at positions 360 to 774 of the family's 1533-position model. The record is from RNAcentral.
AAUUUUGCAAAAUGGAGGGAACUCUGAUGCAGCGAGGGCGCGUGAAUGAUGAAAGCCUUCGAGUCGAAAAGUUCUGUUAUAUGGGACGACAAUCACGGUCCCAGAGGAGGAAACGCAGGCAAACUACGUACCAGCAGCCGCGGUAAUACGUCGGGGGCGAACGUUGUCCGGAUUUAUUGGGCGUAAAGGGUAAGCAGGCGGACAUGUAAGACAGAUGUGAAAUCCUAGGGCUUAACCCUAGUUCGCAUUUGAAACUGUGUGGCUUGAGUUAAGGAGAGGAGAGUGGAAUUCCUAGUGUAGCGGUGAAAUGCGUAGAUAUUAGGAGGAAUACCAGUGGCGAGGGCGACUUUCUGGACUUAUACUGACGCUGAGGUACGAAAGCGUGGGGAGCAAACA